RNAcentral lists this ribosomal RNA (499 nucleotides) under uncultured bacterium. Its description in RNAcentral is "partial 16S ribosomal RNA". It matches the Rfam family "Bacterial small subunit ribosomal RNA", at positions 29 to 507 of the family's 1533-position model. The record is from RNAcentral.
ACGAACGCUGGCGGCGUGCCUAAUACAUGCAAGUCGAGCGGACUGAUUAAGAGCUUGCUCUUAUGACGUUAGCGGCGGACGGGUGAGUAACACGUGGGCAACCUGCCCUGUAGAUCGGGAUAACACCGAGAAAUCGGUGCUAAUACCGGGUAAUAUCUGAGAUCACAUGAUCUUAGGUUAAAAGAUGGCUCCGGCUAUCACUACAGGAUGGGCCCGCGGCGCAUUAGCUAGUUGGUAAGGUAAUGGCUUACCAAGGCGACGAUGCGUAGCCGACCUGAGAGGGUGAUCGGCCACACGGGGACUGAGACACGGCCCAGACUCCUACGGGAGGCAGCAGUAGGGAAUCUUCCGCAAUGGACGAAAGUCUGACGGAGCAACGCCGCGUGAGUGAUGAAGGGGUUCGGCUCGUAAAGCUCUGUUGUUAGGGAAGAAACAGUACCGAACGAACUAGGUCGGUACCUUGACGGUACCUAACCAGAAAGCCACGGCUAACUACGUG